GAUGAACGCUGACAGAAUGCUUAACACAUGCAAGUCUUUGGCGAAUCUGUGCUUGCACAGGCUAGCCAAGGCGGACGGGUGAGUAACGCGUAAAGAACUUGCCCUGCAGACAGGGAUAACAGACGGAAACGACUGAUAACACCUGAUACAGUUGCCGGCACUCAUGUGCCUGGCAAUGAAAAGAGAUGCUGCAGGAGAGCUUUGCGUCCUAUUAGCUUGUUGGUGAGGUGACGGCUCACCAAGGCGAUGAUAGGUAGCCGGCCUGAGAGGGUGAACGGCCACAAGGGGACUGAGAUACGGCCCUUACUCCUACGGGAGGCAGCAGUGGGGAAUAUUGGACAAUGGGGGCAACCCUGAUCCAGCAAUUCUGUGUGCACGAAGAAGGUUUUCGGAUUGUAAAGUGCUUUCAGCAGGGAAGAAGAAAGUGACGGUACCUGCAGAAGAAGCGACGGCUAAAUACGUG
Molecule: ribosomal RNA, 463 nt
Filed under: uncultured bacterium
Lineage: Bacteria
Description: partial 16S ribosomal RNA
Rfam family: Bacterial small subunit ribosomal RNA
Source: RNAcentral